CCCCAGCGCCACAAGUGGCAACCAGCUUUAUUUGGUCUAAAGCGUCCGUAGCUGGCAUGUUAAAUUUUCUGUGAAAUCGUGGAGCUUAACUUCACGGCGUGCAGAGAACACUGACAUGCUAGGGACCGGGAGAGGUCAGCGGUAUUCUUUGGGGAGCGGUAAAAUGCUAUAAUCCAAGGAGGACCACCGAUGGCGAAGGCAGCUGACCAGCACGGAUCCGACAGUGAGGGACGAAAGCUAGGGGA
This 245-nucleotide ribosomal RNA is filed under the name uncultured archaeon. RNAcentral describes it as "partial 16S ribosomal RNA". It matches the Rfam family "Archaeal small subunit ribosomal RNA", at positions 474 to 718 of the family's 1478-position model. The record is from RNAcentral.